AAAAUAUCAAAUUACAAAAUAAAAAACAUUAAAAAUCAGAAUCAGAAACUAGAAUUUAUUUAGAGAUUAAUGCAAUUGGUCCCAUAAUUUUUGGAUUAAAAAUGAGAGAGAUAUGAAUUUUUGAAAUAAAAGGAAAUAAAGAAAAUAAAAUCAGAAAUUAAAAAAAAUGGAAAAUCUGGAAGCGUUGAAUCACGUUCAUUAAUU
This 204-nucleotide long non-coding RNA is filed under the name Lathyrus oleraceus (garden pea). Its description in RNAcentral is "Pisum sativum (pea) long non-coding RNA (PSAT_LNC014863)". Lineage: Eukaryota; Viridiplantae; Streptophyta; Magnoliopsida; Fabales; Fabaceae. The record is from RNAcentral.